Molecule: ribosomal RNA, 425 nt
Filed under: uncultured Glomus
Lineage: Eukaryota; Fungi; Glomeromycota; Glomeromycetes; Glomerales; Glomeraceae
Description: SSU rRNA
Rfam family: Eukaryotic small subunit ribosomal RNA
Source: RNAcentral
CCUCUGGUAUGUACUGGUCUCACUGAUUCUCUUCCUGAUGAACCGUAAUGCCAUUAAUUUGGUGUUGCGGGGAAUUUGGACUGUUACUUUGAAAAAAUUUAGAGUGUUUAAAGCAAGCUAACGCUUGAAUACAUUAGCAUGGAAUAAUGAAUAGGACGUUCGAUCCUAUUUUGUUGGUUUCUAGGAUUGACGUAAUGAUUAAUAGGGAUAGUUGGGGGCAUUAGUAUUCAAUUGUCAGAGGUGAAAUUCUUGGAUUUAUUGAAGACUAACUACUGCGAAAAGCAUUUGCCAAGGAUGUUUUCAUUAAUCAAGAACGAAAGUUAGGGGAUCGAAGACGAUCAGAUACCGUCGUAGUCUUAACCAUAAACUAUGCCGACUAGGGAUCGGAUGAUGUUAAUUUUUAAUGACUCAUUCGGCGCCUUACG